RNAcentral lists this ribosomal RNA (525 nucleotides) under uncultured bacterium. RNAcentral describes it as "partial 16S ribosomal RNA". It matches the Rfam family "Bacterial small subunit ribosomal RNA", at positions 356 to 896 of the family's 1533-position model. The record is from RNAcentral.
GGGGAAUAUUGCACAAUGGGCGAAAGCCUGAUGCAGCAACGCCGCGUGAGUGAUGAAGGUCUUCGGAUUGUAAAGCUCUGUCUUUUGGGACGAUAAUGACGGUACCAAAGGAGGAAGCCACGGCUAACUACGUGCCAGCAGCCGCGGUAAUACGUAGGUGGCGAGCGUUGUCCGGAUUUACUGGGCGUAAAGGGUGCGUAGGCGGAUGUUUAAGUGAGAUGUGAAAUACCCGGGCUUAACUUGGGUGCUGCAUUUCAAACUGGAUAUCUAGAGUGCAGGAGAGGAGAAUGGAAUUCCUAGUGUAGCGGUGAAAUGCGUAGAGAUUAGGAAGAACACCAGUGGCGAAGGCGAUUCUCUGGACUGUAACUGACGCUGAGGCACGAAAGCGCGGGUAGCAAACAGGAUUAGAUACCCUGGUAGUCCACGCCGUAAACGAUGAGUACUAGGUGUAGGAGGUAUCGACCCCUUCUGUGCCGCAGUAAACACAUUAAGUACUCCGCCUGGGGAAGUACGAUCGCAAGAUUA